This 256-nucleotide long non-coding RNA is filed under the name Cricetulus griseus (Chinese hamster). RNAcentral's name for it is "lncRNA (ENSCGRG00015034881.1)". Lineage: Eukaryota; Metazoa; Chordata; Mammalia; Rodentia; Cricetidae. The record is from RNAcentral.
CUUGAGUAGUGGUGGCAUACACCUUUAAUCCCAGCACUUGGGAGGCAGAGGCAGGGCAUCUCUGUGAGUUUGAGGCUUGAGCCACCAAUGCCUGGCUAUUUUUUAGUUUUAUGGGGCCUCACAGCUAGUUUGUCUUGGAUCUUUGAAGAUACUUUGGACUUGGUUUUUUGAGCAACACUGUAACCUUUGAGAUGUUGGGGAGACUUAGAGAUGUACUAAAGAGAGUUUUGCAUGAAGAGAUGGGCAUGAGUGUCUG